RNAcentral lists this ribosomal RNA (486 nucleotides) under uncultured bacterium. RNAcentral describes it as "partial 16S ribosomal RNA". It matches the Rfam family "Bacterial small subunit ribosomal RNA", at positions 30 to 507 of the family's 1533-position model. The record is from RNAcentral.
AUUGAACGCUGGCGGCAUGCCUUACACAUGCAAGUCGAACGGCAGCACGGGUGCUUGCCCCUCGUGGCGAGUGGCGCACGGGUGUGUAAUACAUCGGAACAUGUCCUGGAGUGGGGGAUAGCCCGGCGAAAGCCGGUUUAAUACCGCAUACGAUCUACGGAUAAGAGCGGGGGACCUUCGCGCCUCGCUCUAUAGGGUUGGCCGAUGGCUGAUUAGCUAGUUGGUGGGGUAAAGGCCUACCAAGGCGACGAUCAGUAGCUGGUCUGAGAGGACGACCAGCCACACUGGGACUGAGACACGGCCCAGACUCCUACGGGAGGCAGCAGUGGGGAAUUUUGGACAAUGGGCGAAAGCCUGAUCCAGCAAUGCCGCGUGUGUGAAGAAGGCCUUCGGGUUGUAAAGCACUUUUGUUCGGGAAGAAAUCCUUGGCGCUAAUACAGUCGGGGGAUGACGGUACCGGAAGAAUAAGCACCGGCUAACUACGUG